RNAcentral lists this long non-coding RNA (985 nucleotides) under Gopherus agassizii (Agassiz's desert tortoise). RNAcentral's name for it is "lncRNA (ENSGAGG00000014927.1)". Lineage: Eukaryota; Metazoa; Chordata; Testudines; Testudinidae. The record is from RNAcentral.
CAGCAAAAGUGGUUCAAAAAUCUGCUGCAGGGUAGAUCCAAUAACUCUCCUUUCUCCUUUUCAGUCACCCACCCUGUUUGGGCUCCGAAGUACAUCAUAGGACCUACAGCUGCUCUUGUCCUAUUGCUGCUACUGGGGCUGGUCGGUGUUAUGGCUUGGAGAGGCAGAGCAAACGCCAGGGAAUGAGCAGCAAUGCGCACCAGCCGGGCCCGGGGGAGACCCUGAUGUCUGGAUGCAUCUAUGAGAAGAACACCCAGGACUAUGGCCUGGGGCAGCCAGCCCAUGUUAGAUACACGCCUCCUCCUGGGGGAUAGCGCGACCACCAAGCUGUGCCCGGGCUCUCCGGCUGGCAUCGGGCAAUCCCACACCUACAGCCAGACAAUGAACAUGGGCAAAGUACUGCAGGAACUCCAAGGACGGACCCAGGAUAUUUACAGCCAGUUGGACUCUCCCCAAGCUGGUUUCCACUGAGCUCUGCUGAAAUCCCAACCAGCUGGGACCCCCGCUGCAUGGCCGGGACCUUAAACACAAAGAGAAGCCAUCACUCAACAGGGCCAGAUCCCAGCAGGGAUCCACAAGCAUCGAUUUUCCAUUGUGCUGGGGGUGCUUGACCCCUGGCACUUCCCCAGGCCCCACCCCCACUCCACCCCUUCCCUCAAGGCCACACCCCUGUCCUGUCUCUCCCCUACCCCUGUCCCACCUGUUCCCACCCCUGAGCACACUGCAUCCUCGCUCCUCACCGCUUCCCCCACAAAACAGCUGAUUGCAGCAAGUGGGAGGCGCGAGGAGCGGGAAGCAUUGAUGGGGAGCUGCCGGUGAGUGCUCAGCACCCACCAUUUUUUUCCAGUGGGUGCUCCUGCCCCAGACCACCCGUGGAGUUGGUGCCUAUGUGGGAUAAAGCGGCAGUGUCUCCAUUGGAAUGAAUGGGGUCAGACCCCCAGCUGGGGUGACUCAGUUGAGAAUAAAUAGCUCCGAAAUGCAGCCA